GACGAACGCUGGCGGCGUGCUUAACACAUGCAAGUCGAACGGAAAGGCCCUUCUUUUGUGGGGUGCUCGAGUGGCGAACGGGUGAGUAACACGUGAGUACCCUUCCCUUGACUUUGGGAUAACUUCAGGAAACUGGGGCUAAUACCGGAUAGGAGCUCCUGCUGCAUGGUGGGGGUUGGAAAGUUUCGGCGGUUGGGGAUGGACUCGCGGCUUAUCAGCUUGUUGGUGGGGUAGUGGCUUACCAAGGCUUUGACGGGUAGCCGGCCUGAGAGGGUGACCGGCCACAUUGGGACUGAGAUACGGCCCAGACUCCUACGGGAGGCAGCAGUGGGGAAUAUUGCACAAUGGGCGGAAGCCUGAUGCAGCAACGCCGCGUGCGGGAUGACGGCCUUCGGGUUGUAAACCGCUUUCGCCUGUGACGAAGCGUGAGUGACGGUAAUGGGUAAAGAAGCACCGGCUAACUACGUG
Molecule: ribosomal RNA, 468 nt
Filed under: uncultured bacterium
Lineage: Bacteria
Description: partial 16S ribosomal RNA
Rfam family: Bacterial small subunit ribosomal RNA
Source: RNAcentral